ACCUGGCUGGCUCAGUUGGAAGAGCAGGUGACUCUUAAUCUCAGGGUUGUGAGUUUGAACCCCACGUUAGGUG
This 73-nucleotide transfer RNA is filed under the name Ailuropoda melanoleuca (giant panda). It matches the Rfam family "tRNA". From Rfam's summary of the family: Transfer RNA (tRNA) molecules are approximately 80 nucleotides in length. Their secondary structure includes four short double-helical elements and three loops (D, anti-codon, and T loops). Further hydrogen bonds mediate the characteristic L-shaped molecular structure. tRNAs have two regions of fundamental functional importance: the anti-codon, which is responsible for specific mRNA codon recognition, and the 3' end, to which the tRNAs corresponding amino acid is attached (by aminoacyl-tRNA synthetases). tRNAs cope with the degeneracy of the genetic code in two manners: having more than one tRNA (with a specific anti-codon) for a particular amino acid; and 'wobble' base-pairing, i.e. permitting non-standard base-pairing at the 3rd anti-codon position. The record is from Rfam by way of RNAcentral. Lineage: Eukaryota; Metazoa; Chordata; Mammalia; Carnivora; Ursidae.